UACGGAGGGUGCAAGCGUUAAUCGGAAUUACUGGGCGUAAAGCGCACGCAGGCGGUUUGUUAAGUUAGAUGUGAAAUCCCCGGGCUUAACCUGGAACUGCAUUUAAGACUGGCAGGCUAGAGUCUUGUAGAGGGGGGUAGAGUUCCAUGUGUAGCGGUGAAAUGCGUAGAGAUGUGGAGGAAUACCGGUGGCGAAGGCGGCCCUCUGGACAAAGACUGACGCUCAGGUGCGAAAGUGUGGGGAGCAAACA
This 250-nucleotide ribosomal RNA is filed under the name uncultured bacterium. Its description in RNAcentral is "partial 16S ribosomal RNA". It matches the Rfam family "Bacterial small subunit ribosomal RNA", at positions 524 to 774 of the family's 1533-position model. The record is from RNAcentral.